This 433-nucleotide ribosomal RNA is filed under the name uncultured bacterium. Its description in RNAcentral is "partial 16S ribosomal RNA". It matches the Rfam family "Bacterial small subunit ribosomal RNA", at positions 29 to 507 of the family's 1533-position model. The record is from RNAcentral.
AACGAACGCUGGCGGCAUGCCUAACACAUGCAAGUCGAACGAGACCUUCGGGUCUAGUGGCGCACGGGUGCGUAACGCGUGGGAACCUGCCCUUAGGUUCGGAAUAACUCCCCGAAAUGGGUGCUAAUACCGGAUAAUGUCUUCGGACCAAAGAUUUAUCGCCUUUGGAUGGGCCCGCGUUGGAUUAGCUAGUUGGUAGGGUAAAAGCCUACCAAGGCUACGAUCCAUAGCUGGUCUGAGAGGAUGAUCAGCCACACUGGGACUGGGACACGGCCCAGAAUCCUACGGGAAGGAGCAGUGGGGAAUAUUGGAAAAUGGGGGAAAGCCUGAUCCAGCAAUGCCGCGUGAGUGAUGAAGGCCGUAGGGUUGUAAAGCUCUUUUACCCGGGAUGAUAAUGACAGUACCGGGAGAAUAAGCUCCGGCUAACUCCGUG